Molecule: ribosomal RNA, 256 nt
Filed under: uncultured bacterium
Lineage: Bacteria
Description: partial 16S ribosomal RNA
Rfam family: Bacterial small subunit ribosomal RNA
Source: RNAcentral
UACGAGGGGGGGGCGAGCGUUGUUCGGAAUUAUUGGGCGUAAAGGGUGCGUAGGCGGUUCCGCAAGUCCUGUGUGAAAUCUUCGGGCUCAACUCGAAGUCUGCACGGGAAACUGCGGGGCUUGAGUGUGGGAGAGGUGAGUGGAAUUCCCGGUGUAGCGGUGAAAUGCGUAGAUAGUCGGGAGGAACACCUGUGGCGAAAGCGGCUCACUGGACCAUAACUGACGCUGAUGCACGAAAGCUGGGGGAGCAAACAGG